Molecule: long non-coding RNA, 373 nt
Organism: Argiope bruennichi
Lineage: Eukaryota; Metazoa; Arthropoda; Arachnida; Araneae; Araneidae
Exons: 3
Source: RefSeq, a predicted model, not a curated record
AAACGUAAAUGUAAUGCGAAGAAGACGGUAUCUUUCACCCAAGAAGAAAGGAAAAGUAAAUCCCUUUUUGUUACAGCUUUUCCAAGACGAGGAAUUUGCGAAACAUUCCACGAAGGAAGCUGCAUUUACGAUAGACGUAAAUCUGAUGCGAAGAGACGAAGACGGUAUCUUUUUACCAUGAAGAAGACGGAAAAGUAAAUCCUUUCUUGCUGCAGCUUUUCAAGAUAACAAAAAAGCAACAGCUAUACUUAAAAGGCGAUUUCUUGUCUGCUUCAGUUUAUUAAGUAAGGAAUUUCUCCUUUCAUGUUCGGAGAACUUUGUUUGAAGAUUGCUUUUUCCCAUUGAAUCGAGAAAAAUAAUCCAGAGCUUAGAA